This 440-nucleotide ribosomal RNA is filed under the name uncultured bacterium. RNAcentral describes it as "bacterial SSU rRNA". It matches the Rfam family "Bacterial small subunit ribosomal RNA", at positions 338 to 769 of the family's 1533-position model. The record is from RNAcentral.
CCUACGGGGGGCAGCAGUAGGGAAUUUUGCGCAAUGGGGGAAACCCUGACGCAGCAACGCCGCGUGACCGAUGAAGCUUCUAGGAGCGUAAAGGUCUGUCGUAAGGGAAGAAAAGUUUGGAUGUAAAUAAUGUUUGAACCUGACGGUACCUUACAAGAAAGCACCGGCUAACUUCGUGCCAGCAGCCGCGGUAAUACGAGGGGUGCAAGCGUUGUCCGGAAUUACUGGGCGUAAAGGGUCCGUAGGCGUCUUAAAAAGUCAUUUGUUAAAUACACCGGCUUAACCGGUGACCUGCAUUUGAAACUAUUAAGAUAGAGUUUAGGAGAGGAAAGCGGAAUUCCUGGUGUAGCGGUGACAUGCGUAGAUAUCAGGAGGAACACCAAUGGCGAAGGCAGCUUUCUGGCCUAUUACUGACGCUGAGGGACGAAAGCGUGGGGAGC